UACGUAGGGAGCGAGCGUUGUCCGAAUUUACUGGGCGUAAAGCGCGCGUAGGCGGGCUUUUAAGUCGGGGGUGAAAUGCCGAGGCUCAACCUCGGAACUGCCUCCGAAACUGGAAGCCUUGAGGUAUGGAGAGGGAAGUGGAAUUCCUGGUGUAGCGGUGAAAUGCGUAGAUAUCAGGAGGAACACCUGUGGCGAAGGCGGCUUCCUGGCCAUAUCCUGACGCUGAGGUGCGAAAGCCAGGGGAGCGAAC
Molecule: ribosomal RNA, 250 nt
Filed under: uncultured bacterium
Lineage: Bacteria
Description: partial 16S ribosomal RNA
Rfam family: Bacterial small subunit ribosomal RNA
Source: RNAcentral